Molecule: ribosomal RNA, 415 nt
Filed under: uncultured beta proteobacterium
Lineage: Bacteria; Pseudomonadati; Pseudomonadota; Betaproteobacteria
Description: bacterial SSU rRNA
Rfam family: Bacterial small subunit ribosomal RNA
Source: RNAcentral
CAAGACCUUGCGCUGAUUGAGCGGCCGAUAUCAGAUUAGCUAGUUGGUGGGGUAAAAGCCUACCAAGGCGACGAUCUGUAGCGGGUCUGAGAGGAUGAUCCGCCACACUGGAACUGAGACACGGUCCAGACUCCUACGGGAGGCAGCAGUGGGGAAUUUUGGACAAUGGGGGCAACCCUGAUCCAGCCAUGCCGCGUGAGUGAAGAAGGCCUUCGGGUUGUAAAGCUCUUUCAGCCGGGAAGAAAUCGUACAGGCUAAUACCCUGUGCGGAUGACGGUACCGGAAUAAGAAGCACCGGCUAACUACGUGCCAGCAGCCGCGGUAAUACGUAGGGUGCGAGCGUUAAUCGGAAUUACUGGGCGUAAAGCGUGCGCAGGCGGUUUGUAAGACAGGCGGAAUCCCCCGAUAAGCGUUC